RNAcentral lists this ribosomal RNA (429 nucleotides) under Gemmatimonadota bacterium. RNAcentral's name for it is "Gemmatimonadetes bacterium partial 16S ribosomal RNA". It matches the Rfam family "Bacterial small subunit ribosomal RNA", at positions 355 to 776 of the family's 1533-position model. Lineage: Bacteria; Pseudomonadati; Gemmatimonadota. The record is from RNAcentral.
UAGGGAAUCUUCGGCAAUGGACGAAAGUCUGACCGAGCAACGCCGCGUGAGUGAAGAAGGUUUUCGGAUCGUAAAACUCUGUUGUUAGAGAAGAACAAGGACGUUAGUAACUGAACGUCCCCUGACGGUAUCUAACCAGAAAGCCACGGCUAACUACGUGCCAGCAGCCGCGGUAAUACGUAGGUGGCAAGCGUUGUCCGGAUUUAUUGGGCGUAAAGCGAGCGCAGGCGGUUUCUUAAGUCUGAUGUGAAAGCCCCCGGCUCAACCGGGGAGGGUCAUUGGAAACUGGGAGACUUGAGGGCAGAAGAGGAGAGUGGAAGUCCAUGUGUAGCGGUGAAAUGCGUAGAUAUAUGGAGGAACACCAGUGGCGAAGGCGGCUCUCUGGUCUGUAACUGACGCUGAGGCUCGAAAGCGUGGGGAGCAAACAGG